GAUGAACGCUGGCGGCGUGCCUAAUACAUGCAAGUCGAGCGAACAGACGAGGAGCUUGCUCCUCUGACGUUAGCGGCGGACGGGUGAGUAACACGUGGAUAACCUACCUAUAAGACUGGGAUAACUUCGGGAAACCGGAGCUAAUACCGGAUAAUAUAUUGAACCGCAUGGUUCAAUAGUGAAAGACGGUUUUGCUGUCACUUAUAGAUGGAUCCGCGCCGCAUUAGCUAGUUGGUAAGGUAACGGCUUACCAAGGCAACGAUGCGUAGCCGACCUGAGAGGGUGAUCGGCCACACUGGAACUGAGACACGGUCCAGACUCCUACGGGAGGCAGCAGUAGGGAAUCUUCCGCAAUGGGCGAAAGCCUGACGGAGCAACGCCGCGUGAAUGAUGAAGGUCUUCGGAUCGUAAAACUCUGUUAUUAGGGAAAAACAAAUGUGUAAGUAACUAUGCACGUCUUGACGGUACCUAAUCAGAAAGCCACGGCUAACUACGUG
Molecule: ribosomal RNA, 497 nt
Filed under: uncultured bacterium
Lineage: Bacteria
Description: partial 16S ribosomal RNA
Rfam family: Bacterial small subunit ribosomal RNA
Source: RNAcentral